GAAAACAGCGACAUGCAAAGAGCUCGUCUUGCCUGUUGAUAUCUUCCGGGCUUUGGAAUUGAUACCUCGCUAAAUGGUGCGCAUACGAAGGGGCGAUGACCGAGUGCACUUAACCGUCGACGAUCCAAGGACUCUCGCACACCAAUGUCAACCGACUUGUACCAUGUUAGCAAUCAUUCACGAUCUACUUAAGCCGAAGUGAGGAUGGAUUGACUUAGGGCGUCACACCUUGCCUGCCCAUAGUUAUCGUCGGUUCACCACCCAACUGUUCGUAUUCUUUCUGCCCACAGACUACGCCGGCAAAAGAGUCUUCACUUUGGGGUUUGUUUCGUCCCAAUCGAAUUGGCCAUCAGACCUGGACCGUGGUGCACCAAGGCUCGGCCAUCCAAACAGGCGCCCGUGACACGACCGAUUGAGGUUGACAGAGGCGACAAAGUCUAGGAGAGACAACAUCUUGCUCCUCCCAUCAGCAAGAGAGGCAAACUUGGAAAUCGCUGCCAGACAUCUCUUGUGCCUCGGUCGCGGUUUAACUUUUUUCCUUACC
This is a non-coding RNA of Neurospora crassa OR74A, 544 nucleotides long. The record is from RefSeq and is a predicted model, not a curated record. Lineage: Eukaryota; Fungi; Ascomycota; Sordariomycetes; Sordariales; Sordariaceae.